GAACGUUCUUGAUCUUCUGCUGAAGCUGCAAAGACUCAUCAAAGGAGCAUCAUCAUCCUCAUCAUUCCAAACAUGGAUCCCACUCUGGGUCUAGCUCACAUGAGGAAACCACCUCUGCAACAACUACCACCACUGGAGGUGCAACGUCUACUACUGCUGCAUCUGCAACUACUGCUGCUGCAUCUGCAACUACUGCUGCUGCAUCUGCAACUACUACUGUUGCAUCUGCAACAACCACACCAUCACCAACUACCACUUCUCCUUCAGCAACUUCUUAACGGAGCAAAAAAAUGACAUGGAGUGAGAGAUCAAGGAGUGAUAGAAAAUAAACAUUUAAUGAGUUUAUGACAUCUCACCUGAUCUGUAUGGUUCAAUAUUCAUGAAGAAAUAUUCAAAUAAAUGUUUUUCUUGCAAACAUGUUUCCCUGAAUUAAUGGAGUCUUUAAAAACUAACAAUAUUGUUGAUACACUGAAUAAAAAUGUCUCACUUUUUCAGAUAUCUGCAGGUCCGAGCUUCGUCAUAAAAUGUCUUAUCAAGCUAAACCUUCCUUCCCC
This is a long non-coding RNA of Oryzias melastigma (Indian medaka), 554 nucleotides long. RefSeq lists it as uncharacterized. The transcript is spliced from 3 exons. The record is from RefSeq and is a predicted model, not a curated record. Lineage: Eukaryota; Metazoa; Chordata; Actinopteri; Beloniformes; Adrianichthyidae.